UUUCCAUUUUAAUUUUUUUUUAUUGUGUGAGUUAAACGCAGCAGCAACAAUAACUUCAGGGGACGGCUUUCCCAAAGCCUUUCAACAUGGACAGCUGGCCAGAAGCCACCAAGGUCGCAGGUCAUCUUCCACGGGCAUAACAUAGCCACGUCGGCCGACCCGACCACCAGCAACUGCCAGGAGCAAGACCAACAGCGUGGCCAGGACAACAGCAACAGAGCAUCAGCGUUUGGUUGCUCUUUCGCCGCGAUACCUCCGACCGUCGCCCUAAUCACCGCCGGAACACGAUCCUAAUUCACCCUCCACCGUGGUCCACCGUCGCAGGUGGGGACACCCAUCCAUGACCUAAUGACGGUUGUCGGAGGCAAGAAAGUGAAUCUCCGCCGCGAUCGACGCCAGCGAAGUGAACAAAUUUAGCGUCGCCGUUGACCGUUGUGAUGAGUUCGUGGUUGCACGAGGAGCCAUCAGCCCAUCAAUGGUCGCGUUAAUGGUUACAUGGCCAGGGUGGUGGUUAAGGUGAGCGGGAGCAUCCACCGCAAGAUCUGUUCCUUCGGUAAUGCGGCGGCGCAUAAGCUUGACAGAUCUUUGAUGGCGGAGCUUCGAAAUGAGGUGGUGCUGUGAUGAAGGUGGCGCCGGUGAUCGCCUUGUCGCAACAGCCGUCGGAGAUGGGAAAAGAGAGAAAUGGAAUGGAGGACCGAGUGGCGGUGGCUGAGGUGGAGAAAUAAUAAGCGGCGAAGGAGAUAGAGAGAGUCGCGGGGAUGCUGGUGGCUGUGGUUGCGCGUCGCCGUCGAAGAUGGGAGGAGAGCGGAAUGGAACAGCGUCGGGCCUGUGGUGGCUGAGGUGGAGAAAGAAUGAGCCGCCGCCUGAUGCUGAAGGUGCUCAGUCUUGCCAUAGCUGCGAGGCAAACGAAGGGAGUUGUUGAUGUUGGUGAUUUAAUUUUUUUUAGUUUCAGUUAAGAACUGUGAUCUUUUAGUAAUGCUUUUGUUGGAUUUAGUUAAGAAAUAAAUGGUUUUAGUUGAUUUUUUCUGAAUUUAAGUCAAUUAUUGUUUAGUUAACAUUUAUUCUC
Long non-coding RNA from Spinacia oleracea (spinach), 1066 nucleotides. RefSeq lists it as uncharacterized. The transcript has 4 exons. The record is from RefSeq and is a predicted model, not a curated record. NCBI's taxonomy places the organism in Eukaryota, Viridiplantae, Streptophyta, Magnoliopsida, Caryophyllales, Amaranthaceae.